Molecule: ribosomal RNA, 422 nt
Filed under: uncultured archaeon
Lineage: Archaea
Description: partial 16S ribosomal RNA
Rfam family: Archaeal small subunit ribosomal RNA
Source: RNAcentral
CUACGGGUGGCUGCAGUUAGGAAUAUUCUGCAAUGCGCGAAAGCGUGACAGAUUGAGUCAAAGUGCUUUUCUUUUAGAAAAGCUUUUAUGAAAUCUAAAAAGUUUCAUGAAUAAGGACUGGGUAAGACUAGUGCCAGCCGCCGCGGUAAUACUAGCGGUCCAAGUCGCAGCCAUUUUUAUUGGGUCUAAAACAUCCGUAGCUUGUUUGGUAAGUCUCUUGUGAAAUUUUGUAUCUUAAGUAUGAAGCGCGCAAGAAAUACUGCUAGGCUAGAGACUGGAAGACGAAACGAGUACGUUCAAAGUAGCGGUAAAAUGUGUUAAUCUUGGACGGACUAACAAUAGCGAAGGCACGUUUCGAGGACAGUUCUGACAGUAAGGGAUGAAGGCUAGGGGCGCAAAACGGAUUAGAUACCCCUGUAGUC